Long non-coding RNA from Andrographis paniculata, 2846 nucleotides. RefSeq lists it as uncharacterized. Lineage: Eukaryota; Viridiplantae; Streptophyta; Magnoliopsida; Lamiales; Acanthaceae. The transcript has 5 exons. The record is from RefSeq and is a predicted model, not a curated record.
UAUGUCGCUUGUGCUACUAAAAUCCCCAAAUUUUCUGAAUCCUAAACCCUAAAAAAAACCUAGCCUGUCGCAAAACCCUAAAAUAAAAAAAUUGGCAAUUUUUUUGUCCAUGGCAGCAAUCAACCUCUGGAAACGCAACAAUCGUGUUCCUCCGGAGGUGGACGGGAUUCUAGAAGUGCAUCAUAGGCGUUCCGAUGUAAUCAAUGGGGAAAUGUAGAAGUGAAGCCGGAUAAAUGCUGUAUGGGAUGUGUACGGUCUGCUGUGGAGCUUUGGAGAAAAGCGUGGCGAAGAUGAUAAAGGAAUUUGAGCAGGAAAAGAGAAGCAAGGCGAUAUUCGGAAGCUCCAGGCGUAAGUCUUGGAUUGGCCAUCAUAUAGUUAAUCUACUUCAUGAACGUAGAGAUUGCUUCGAGCCGAUUGUCUAUGCACACACUGUAAUUGGUUAGCUUAAUUACGGCAGAUCUUCGUUUCUUGGUGUUUGCAACCAUGUCUGGAUGUCCUUUCCUCAUCAUGGCAACAAAUUCAUCGUAGUUGAUACGUCCAUCCUGUAGGUAUUUAAACAAUUUAAUCAGUCUCUCUUAUAUAGAUUCAGUAUAUUUUGCCAUGCUAUGAAUUAAGAAUUGUAUAGGAGACAAAGUGUAGGUUGCAGUUGAGAUUUAGCUUACAUUAUUGGUGUCGACUUCACUGAUUAUUUCCUUUAUGUCCUUCCCAUCGCCCAUGCCAAAUUCCCUGAGAGCCUGCUCUAGUUCUUCUAGCGAAAUGUACCUGAUUUCAAAAGAAGAAAGCUUUCAGGAGCCUUAUCUCAGUAAAGUAGCUAACCUGGGAUCGAAUCCUUAAAAUAUGCUCAUUGUCCAUGUAUAUAUAUAUAUAUAUACCCGCUAUUGUCUUUGUCAAAAUACUGGAAUGCUGUGUAGAGAUGCUCUUCUCUGUCCAUUCUGUUGAGAUGCAUUGUUGCUGUAAUGAAUUCUUCGUAGUCUAUGGUACCAUUUCCGUCAGCAUCCGCCUGAUUUUACAUUUGCAUUCGCAGACAGGGUAAGGAAAGGUACGCAUUAUAUAUAAGAGCAAUAAAUGGUUUUUUUUUUUCAUUCAAGGAUACUUACAGCUUCCAUCAGUUGUUUGACUUCGUAUUCGGAUAUCUUUGUCCCUUGUUUAGCUAAUCCUUGCCUCAGCUCUUCUAGCGUUAUCGUGCCACUUCCGUCAGCGUCCAUGUUUUUGAACAUUUCUUUCAGACCCAUGAUUUCUUCCUCCGACAGGCAGCCCGCAAUAACCUUCAUUUUCAUUUUUUUUCAGGUUAUCCGCGAAUCAGACACCAUAUGUUGUCUGGUAUAGGUACUUACCCGAAGUGCCAUUUUCUUGAACUGAUUCAUUGCCCGGAACUGUUUGAGCCUGUUGAGAACAGCAUUGUCAAGCGGCGUAUCAGGUGCCUCCCCGUCCUCCUUGAUCCAUGGAUGAUCUGCAGAGAAAAGAUUACAUACUUAGCACUUCAAAUGCUGUAAGCCUCUGCUUGGGAUCCUGAUUCAGCAUCUUCUUCACAAGAUCCUUUGCUUGGGGUGAGAUCGACGGCCAGGGAUCGCACGAGAAAUCUACAUGCCCCCUUAAUAUGGCGUUGAAGAUGCCCGUCUCCGACUCUGCCCAGAAAGGAGGAACACCGGAAAGAAGGAUGUACAACAUGACUCCAAUACUCCAAAUGUCGACUUGAGGUUUAUUACAAAUGAAUGAUUUAGGGAGAAAGAUGUACUGACCUUCCUUGUAGAAGACAGAGAGCCCGAAAUCUGUGGCCUUAAGCGGCGCAUUCUCGUCCUUGUUCAAGAGCAAGAAAUUCUCGGGUUUGAGAUCCCUGUGUAUCACCCCCAUCGAGUGGCACGUGUGCACGAUCUCCACGAUCGUCCGGAGAAGCGAUGCGGCGGCGCGCUCCGUAUAGUGCCCCUUGGCGAUGAUCCGGUCGAAAAGCUCACCACCGGCGCAAAGCUCCAUGACGAGGUGGACCGAGUGCUUGUCCUCGUAGGCGCCCUUGAGCUCGACAAUGUUUGGCUGGCCCGACAGGUGGUGCAUGAUCUGGACCUCGCGCCGAACGUCCUCCACGUCCUCCUUGUUCGCAAGUUUCCGCUUGGCAAUCGUCUUGCACGCGUACUCCACGCCGGUUUGUUUGUGCGUGCACAGGUACGUUACGCCGAACUGCCCCCGUCCGAGCUCCUUCCCGACCGUGUACGUGUUUCGGACGUCCUCCAUCGGGCGGCCGAGGACGGGGCCGAUGGGGCCGGGAGGCUUCGAAGGCUUGGUGGAUUGGGUGGCGGACGGCGGCGGCGUGGUGGUUGGGCCGGAUGUGGAGGGGGAGUCUUUAGAUGCGUCAUCGCUGUUGGGGGCCUGGGCGGCAGAGGGGUCUUGUGCGGCAGCAUCGUCUUCGCUCCGGGAACAGCAGCUACCCAUUGGCGGAGGAAGAGGCGGCGGUGGCGGCGCGGCGGCAGCGGCAGCGAUGCCCGGAGGAGGGAGGAGCUGAGGAGGAAGGAAGAGUUGUGGGAAUGAUGAAGGAGAAGGGAAGGGAAGGGAAGGGGAGGGAAAGGGAAGGGGGAAAUGGGAUGGUGGUUUGGGAGACAAAUAUGGAGAGAAAGGGAGAAAUGUGAGGAAAUUUAUUUACCUAAAUUUACUCUUUUUGACUAUUUGGGGAAAUUUCAGGUUGCACCAAGAGUAAGGGGUUGGGAGGAUUUUUAGGCAACAGACAAACUACUAUUGUCAUAUUAUUAUUAUUAUUGUAGUUAUUAUUAUUAGUUAAUGUCAUUUUGUUUUAAAUUAACCAACAUAUAAUGAUAUUAUUGAAUCCUUUCAUGAGAGAUCAACCAAAUAUUUUCAUU